ACCUGGUUGGCUCAUUCAGUGGAGCAUGUGACUCUUGAUCUUGGGGUUAUGAGUUCAAGUCUUAUGUUGGGUA
This 73-nucleotide transfer RNA is filed under the name Felis catus (domestic cat). It matches the Rfam family "tRNA". From Rfam's summary of the family: Transfer RNA (tRNA) molecules are approximately 80 nucleotides in length. Their secondary structure includes four short double-helical elements and three loops (D, anti-codon, and T loops). Further hydrogen bonds mediate the characteristic L-shaped molecular structure. tRNAs have two regions of fundamental functional importance: the anti-codon, which is responsible for specific mRNA codon recognition, and the 3' end, to which the tRNAs corresponding amino acid is attached (by aminoacyl-tRNA synthetases). tRNAs cope with the degeneracy of the genetic code in two manners: having more than one tRNA (with a specific anti-codon) for a particular amino acid; and 'wobble' base-pairing, i.e. permitting non-standard base-pairing at the 3rd anti-codon position. Lineage: Eukaryota; Metazoa; Chordata; Mammalia; Carnivora; Felidae. The record is from Rfam by way of RNAcentral.